GAUGAACGCUGGCGGCGUGCCUAAUACAUGCAAGUCGAGCGAACAGACGAGGAGCUUGCUCCUCUGACGUUAGCGGCGGACGGGUGAGUAACACGUGGAUAACCUACCUAUAAGACUGGGAUAACUUCGGGAAACCGGAGCUAAUACCGGAUAAUAUAUUGAACCGCAUGGUUCAAUAGUGAAAGACGGUUUUGCUGUCACUUAUAGAUGGAUCCGCGCCGCAUUAGCUAGUUGGUAAGGUAACGGCAUACCAAGGCAACGAUGCGUAGCCGACCUGAGAGGGUGAUCGGCCACACUGGAACUGAGACACGGUCCAGACUCCUACGGGAGGCAGCAGUAGGGAAUCUUCCGCAAUGGGCGAAAGCCUGACGGAGCAACGCCGCGUGAGUGAUGAAGGUCUUCGGAUCGUAAAACUCUGUUAGUAGGGAAGAACAAAUGUGUAAGUAACUAUGCACGUCUUGACGGUACCUAAUCAGAAAGCCACGGCUAACUACGUG
RNAcentral lists this ribosomal RNA (497 nucleotides) under uncultured bacterium. Its description in RNAcentral is "partial 16S ribosomal RNA". It matches the Rfam family "Bacterial small subunit ribosomal RNA", at positions 28 to 507 of the family's 1533-position model. The record is from RNAcentral.